RNAcentral lists this ribosomal RNA (468 nucleotides) under uncultured bacterium. RNAcentral describes it as "partial 16S ribosomal RNA". It matches the Rfam family "Bacterial small subunit ribosomal RNA", at positions 28 to 507 of the family's 1533-position model. The record is from RNAcentral.
GACGAACGCUGGCGGCGUGCUUAACACAUGCAAGUCGAACGGAAAGGCCCUGCUUUUGUGGGGUGCUCGAGUGGCGAACGGGGGAGUAACACGUGAGUAACCUGCCCUUGACUUUGGGAUAACUUCAGGAAACUGGGGCUAAUACCGUAUAGGAGCUCCUGUUCCAUGGUGGGGGUUGGAAAGUUUCGGCGGUUGGGGAUGGAUGCGCGGCUUAUCAGCUUGUUGGUGGGGUAGGGGCUUACCAAGGCUUUGACGGGUAGCCGGCCUGGGAGGGUGACCGGCCACAUUGGGACUGAGAUACGGCCCAGAGUGCUACGGUGGGCAGCAGUGGGGAAUAUUGCCCAAUGGGCGGAAGCCUGAUGCGGCAGCGCCGCGUGCGGGAUGACGGCCUUCGGGUUGUAAACCGCUUUCGCCUGUGACGAAGCGUGAGUGACGGUAAUGGGUAAAGAAGCACCGGCUAACUACGUG